UUUUUUCUUCACACCGUGCCCUAGCCUCCCUCUCUGCCCGACGCCGUCUCCUCCCCUUCCUCGCCGCGCCAACCUUCUCUUCUCUUCCUCUUCAUCGCCAAACGCAUCUUCCCCUCUUCUGAUCGUCAUCCCCUGAUCUACUCUUCCUUCCCAAGCCGCACUGCCGGGCUCUUCCUUUUCUCCCCUCAUCUCAUCGCCGGAAGGAAGGAUCAACGCCAACCUCGCAUCUCUGCCCUAGAGCACCGACCACCUCCUCUUUGCCUCUCUUCUGAUCCUGAGGUUGCUUUCGUGCUAGCACCAUUUGUCCGACAGUCAGCCCCCUCACUCCCGAUCUCCCCUGCGCCGAUGUUAUGCCCUAGUCCCGAAUCACCGCUUCGCGCCACCAUUGCUCCGCCACUUCGCCGAGCGCCGGCGCCGAUCGACCACCACUGCCUUGCACCAGAGCAACCUCACCCACUCACGGUGUUGAGCCCAACCUGGUAGGGUCGUUGUCUUCCUCUGCUCUGAGCUGGUGCCACCAGCCACGGUUGCUAUUGUCAUCGCUGGAGAAGAAGAGUUAGGUAUUUGUUUUGGAGGGCAGCAUCUUCACCUAAUUCCGAUCAUCGCUGCGACACCAUCCUCUUAUUGGAUUUGAGAGGAGAGCUCUACUUCUAUUUCUGUUGCGAUUGGGUUUCUUCAUCAAGCAGUGAAUCAGAUUGGGGAAUUAAAGAGGAGUCAUGCACACGAGUCGAGUCAAACCGAUUGGUUGAAAGCUAUAGAUACAAACCCGGCUCAAUUUGAGAAUAUUUGACUCAAGUCAAAUGAAGAGUUGGACUUAUCUAGCUCAAUCAAGAAGCGGAUCAUCUUCUAAUGGUUUUAACUCAAAUCCAUACCUAAACCCAAUCCACUUCUUAAAGCUCAAUUCCAAAAGUCCAAUUUCAUACUCUUAAUGGAUCGGAUCCCUCUCCUUAACCCAAAAUCCGAACCCGUUAAGAAACCCUUCUCCUUAUUCACUCCACACACGGCACAGUAGAACUCCUCUGGGUUCGCGUUUCUUCUGCUCGCGACAAAGCUAGGGCACGCGGCCACCUCUUCUCCUUUCUCCCUUUUCUCUGGCCGGCGGCGUUUUCUCUUCGCUUGCCGUCGGCCGGCCAACCCUUCCUAUUCUUCCUCCUCUGUGAUCUGCUCCAAUCGGCAACGGACAGUGGCAAUCUCCGGCGGUUGCAAGCGACGGCAAGCAUCUCUGAUCAAGCUCAACUCGCUGAGGGCGUUUCCCCGGUGAGUUUCCUUCUCUUUAUCUUCUGAUUUCUCUCUUGAGGGUGUUCCCCAUUAGGGUUCAGAGGAGGAGAAGACAGGAGAGAGCUCCGAUCAACUCGCUGAGGGUGUUUCCCCGGUGUUCCCCUUUCAUCCCCGACCAUCAUCUGGACUUCUUUUCUCACUGAGGGAGUUACCCCGAUGGGCAAAGGAGCAAGAAGAUCGCUGGCGGCAGUCCACUUAUCUCAUCAGUAGCACUUGAGGGUGUUCCCCGGCGCUACUGACCUCAUUCCGACCUGCAUCUUUCUGCCAUUUUCAGCAUUUCAGCCGGACGCUUGAGGGAGCUUCCAAGGCGCACGGUUUCAUUCUGUUCAUCAACAGCACUUGAUGGAGUUUCACUGGUGUUGUUGGUUCCAUUCCGUUCAUCAAUAGUCGUUCCAGAAGAUGCAGAGAUCAUCUAUCACUGAUUGCCAGAGUUGAGUAUUCUGCCGGAAUAGUUGUUGUCCGCUGGUGAAGGUGUUUCUGAUCCAGGCCUCCGUGUGAUGGCGGGGGUUGUCGUGUGGUGAAUGAUCAUAGAAGAGAAGAAGUGGUUGGGUAAUUAGGAUUUAUUUUUGUUUGUUUGUUUGAAUUGUUAAGUUGUAAUUCACUUUUAUGUUCAUUCUUACAGUCAUGUUCUUAUGUUCUUUAGAUUGUUAUAUUACAUUUUGUUUAGUUGCAUUUACUUAGAUGUUGUCUUUAUUUUCCUGCAUUUACUCGUUAUGUUCUUCUGUUAGAUCUAUUAAUGAUUAAACGUGAGUUGUAGAGUGACAAUGCAAUGCAUGUUUGUCAUUAAUAGUUAACUAGGAGCUAGUUUCAUGUUUCACAAUUAUUUUUGUUCAUGGUGAAGUCUACAUUGUAGAGUGACACUGCAUUGUGGGUUUAUCAUUGUUGCUGGUUAAUUAGGAUUUCCUUAUUUGCAUUAGGUGUAGAAAUUCCAAAAACAAAAACCCUGGUUCGAUCUUGUCUGAAAAUAAACGUCCGAUCACUGUUUCCACGUGAGAGACAACCCGGUCCUCUACUAUACUACCUUAGUGUAAAUUAAGGGGUUCGGUGGAUUAGAAAUGAAUUAAUUUGAUUUAUGAGUGUGACAGAUUCGUUAUCAGCCCUCCGAGAGAGAUAUCAAAUAUGGCUCGAGGAUCCGUCCGGUCAAAAAACAUAUGCCGCCUUCUCAACCGCCAGCCGCAACUCUCCCACCGCGCCCUCACCGAGAAGCACCCUGACGCCUCCUCCACCGACGGCGAAGACGAUCCCCUCCACUUCUCUGUGACUCUUCAACAGUCUUUAUGCUGCCUAUGCUAGAACUGAUAACUUCCAUUAAAAUCAAAUGAUUUCUCCCUUUUGCAGUAACUUCCAUUUAGUUCUUCGCUUCUGACUGAUUAAUAUCUUUUUAGUUCCUUUGCUUUUUGAAUUUUGGUGUAUAUGCAAGAUCCAAUGAUUUUAAAUCACAUUUUCAGAUUUGACUUAAUGUGUAGUGUCCAUCUCCAUUCAGUCCCUUAGUAGAUCAAGAAUGUCAUGCUAUAGAAUGUACCUCUUUUUUUAUUGGAGAAGAUGAUUCUGUUUCCAUUUUGA
This is an RNA transcript of Zingiber officinale, 2841 nucleotides long. It is a transcript of the gene named SPX domain-containing protein 1-like, with no coding region annotated. The record is from RefSeq and is a predicted model, not a curated record. The transcript is spliced from 4 exons. Lineage: Eukaryota; Viridiplantae; Streptophyta; Magnoliopsida; Zingiberales; Zingiberaceae.